GAUUCUUUUUUUAUAUAGUUUAAUUUAAAACAUUAUAUUUUCAAUGUAAAAAUAAAUACUAUUAUUUUAUAA
This 72-nucleotide transfer RNA is filed under the name Cautires sp. UPOL 000164. Its description in RNAcentral is "tRNA-Glu". The record is from RNAcentral. Lineage: Eukaryota; Metazoa; Arthropoda; Insecta; Coleoptera; Lycidae.